Danionella cerebrum is the source of this 75-nucleotide non-coding RNA. Lineage: Eukaryota; Metazoa; Chordata; Actinopteri; Cypriniformes; Danionidae. The record is from the annotation of a GenBank genome assembly.
GCUUUUCUGCGGCUCAGUCAGUAGAGCAUUACAUUAACAACACAAAGGCUGUGGGUUCAAACCCCAGGGAAAGCA